RNAcentral lists this transfer RNA (60 nucleotides) under Phyllidiopsis krempfi. Its description in RNAcentral is "tRNA-Gln". The record is from RNAcentral. Lineage: Eukaryota; Metazoa; Mollusca; Gastropoda; Nudibranchia; Phyllidiidae.
AUCUUUUUGGUGUAAAGCACGAAAGGUUUUGAGCCUUUAGGAGGGAAAUCCCAAAAGAUU